Chenopodium quinoa (quinoa) is the source of this 1799-nucleotide long non-coding RNA. RefSeq lists it as uncharacterized. The record is from RefSeq and is a predicted model, not a curated record. Lineage: Eukaryota; Viridiplantae; Streptophyta; Magnoliopsida; Caryophyllales; Amaranthaceae. The transcript has 4 exons.
AUGGCGGAACCUGAUUGGUCCACUUGUCAGAUGGUGAUUGGUGGGAGCAAAAUCCCCUAAUCAGAGAGGUUAAGAGAAUUGGAGAGGAGAAAGGAGAGGGAGAGGGGAACAGAAAUGCAAAGGAGAAGGGAGAGGGAGGGGGGGAUAGAAUUGAAGACGGCAAGGGGAACGGUCCCGUUCAAGAGAAUUCAUUUAAUGGAGAGAAGAGUAAUGCAAAGGAGAUGGAAGAGGAGAAAGGGAACGGUAAUGUGCCUGUGAAUGUAGGACAUGGUUUUGAUGGUGAGGAUAGAAUUGGAGACGGCAAGGGGAACGGUCCCAUUCAAGAGAGUUCAUUUAAUGGAGAGAAGAGUAAUGCAGAGGAGAUGGAAGAGGAGAAAGGGAAUUGUAAUGUGCUUGUGAAUGUAGGACAUGGUUCUGAUGGUGAGGAUAGAAUUAGAGACGGGAAGGGGAAUGGUCCUGUUCAAGAGAAUUCAUUUAAUGGAGAGAAGAGUAAUGUAGAGGAGAUGGAAGAGAAGAAAGGGAAUGGUAAUGUGCCUGUGAAUGUAGGACAUGGUUCUGAUGGUGAGGGAAAAGAGAUUUCCUAUGAUUCUUAAGAUGAACCGGUUACCCCAGUAGAGCUGUGUACUUGCAAGUGGAUUAUGUUAACAUCUGGAGGCCAAAGUACAUUCGUAGGUUUCGAGAACCGUUGCUCUAGUUUUUCAUGGAUAAUGCGUCGCGAAGACUCUGGAGUCUAGAGACUGAUCACACUAUGCUUAGUUUUGAUGGCGAUCGUGUGAAGCUGAAUUUAUGUAGGAUGGUUGCAAGUUGUGUUGGACAGGUUUGUGAUCAGUAUGUUAGAGUUGCUUCUAAAAUAUAUGAGAAGGUGUGGGAGAAGCAAUUUGCUGGUAAGAGUAGGCGAUUCAUGCUAGAUCUGUCAUUUGGAUUAAGUACAAGUUCCUUCUUCGUGGCAGCUUAUUGGGAGCCAAGUAUUAUUAUUAGCAGCCAUGCUAUUUGUAAGGUAGUUAGUCGAAUUUAAUUGUUGUGCUGGUGUGCAGAUUAUGGUCCUGAAUGCUAACGGACACCUAGAUAGAGUUGCUAAGAUUUUGAAAGCUUACUGCAAAAAACAUGAGGGAAAUGCCCCCUAGUAGAGUCAAUGUGGUAUUACUCGUGUUUGACAUAUAUGAAUUUGCAAUUGUUGUUGAGGGUUGCUAAAUGGUUUCUGUUUUUUGGUUUCUUAAUAAAGGUCUUUGUCCCGGUUGUUCGUGAUGGGCAUUGGUGGUGUGUUGCAUUCUCGAUGAACAGGGAGGAGGUUAUUGUCAUUGACUCAAUUGAGACUAAAAACGCAUGUGAAAGCAAGAGUCUUGAGAAACAGCUGUGGAGUCCACAUGAUCAUAGCAAUAAAAGGGAAUACUGGCAAAUUCCUUAAAGUUAUGCCUCCUGUAAGACAAAUCCUCGUUUUGUGUACACAAGCUGUAUGUUGUGUCUGAUUUCGUGACUUUCUUAUUGUAUUCGAGGUUGCUGAUAUGUUGUUGUAGAGAUCAUGGGUCCUAUGUGAAGAUCUACUGUCGGAAUUUAAUCAAUUACGCGAGAAUGUCCUUGACCUCAUCAAACCGCUAGUUUUGUAAUCCUAUCUUUGUCUACCACUUUGGCCAUUUAUUUAUGAACUUACAUAUCUAUUUUGCCUCUUGGCCACCAUGUACAUGUUCAUAUCGAUGUUCAUAUUGGCCACCAUCGGGAAUAGUUGAUUUUUUUUACUUCCCCAACUCCAAAUGUAAGAAAUUUAUCUUUUGUUCCAAGUACAUAUAUACAUAUUUAAAGCA